This 548-nucleotide long non-coding RNA is filed under the name Musa acuminata (dwarf banana). RNAcentral's name for it is "long non-coding RNA (MACU_LNC010392)". The record is from RNAcentral. Lineage: Eukaryota; Viridiplantae; Streptophyta; Magnoliopsida; Zingiberales; Musaceae.
UUAGGAUAAACAUUUAUUUAAUUCACUCACACACAGGCCCAUAUUUGGAAAUCAGUCUACAUUUCAACUCUUAAGUAUUUUCCACCAACAAUUAUAUGUUCUGCAACAAAAUAAAACCAUAAAAGCCAAGGGACAGAAAUGUGGAAGAUUCAUUACUUGACAAAAUCGUUUUUCAGCACCCUCAUGAGAAUUGUGGCAAGGAAUCCAGUCAAGAGAAGAACUGUCACACAUGAGUUGAUAAUUGAGAACCAAUGGAUCUCCAGGUGAUGAGGUAACGAAGAAGUCUGGGAGUACUUCUCCAUCCUCUUCUCAAAUGGUGUGCUGGUCUCCUUCCACUUCACAGAGUAUAAGAAUUCUACUUCGGUAUCCCUGUCCUCUGUCACAUCCAACAAUGUAUUGGGAUCGGUGUGGACAAUAAUCUCAAUCACCCGGUCAUUGUUGUACAGAACAUCGAAGUGGAAGCGCUUGUAGAGGUAGUACUUGUACUCCCCAAGGUCCUUGCCUUCCUUGUCAACCUUACCAAUGAAUCCCCAGAGUGGGAGAUCAUC